This 475-nucleotide ribosomal RNA is filed under the name uncultured bacterium. Its description in RNAcentral is "bacterial SSU rRNA". It matches the Rfam family "Bacterial small subunit ribosomal RNA", at positions 30 to 523 of the family's 1533-position model. The record is from RNAcentral.
AUUGAACGCUGGCGGCGUGCUUAACACAUGCAAGUCGAGCGGUAACAGGCGUAGCAAUACGUGCUGACGAGCGGCGAACGGGUGCGUAAUACAUGGGAAUCUGCCUAGUAGUGGGGAAUAACCCGGCGAAAGCCGGGCUAAUGCCGCAUACGAUCCACGGAUGAAAGCGGGGGACCUUCGGGCCUCGCGCUAUUGGAUGAGCCCAUGUCGGAUUAGCUAGNGGUGAGGUAACGGCUCACCAAGGCGACGAUCCGUAGCUGGUCUGAGAGGACGGCCAGCCACACUGGGACUGAGACACGGCCCAGACUCCUACGGGAGGCAGCAGUGGGAAUAUUGGACAAUGGGGGAAACCCUGACCCAGCAACGCCGCGUGAAGGAUGAAGUAUUUCGGUAUGUAAACUUCGAAAGAAUAGGAAGAAUAAAUGACGGUACUAUUUAUAAGGUCCGGCUAACUACGUGCCAGCAGCCGCGGUAA